AGACAGCAGUCGCCGCGGUAAUACGUAGGUGGCAAGCGUUGUCCGGAGUUAUUGGGCGUAAAGGGCUCGCAGGCGGUUUCUUAAGUCUGAUGUGAAAGCCCCCGGCUCAACCGGGGAGGGUCAUUGGAAACUGGGAAACUUGAGUGCAGAAGAGGAGAGUGGAAUUCCACGUGUAGCGGUGAAAUGCGUAGAGAUGUGGAGGAACACCAGUGGCGAAGGCGACUCUCUGGUCUGUAACUGACGCUGAGGAGCGAAAGCGUGGGGAGCGAACAGGAUUAGAUACCCCAGUAGUCCCUGUCUCUUAUAC
This 307-nucleotide ribosomal RNA is filed under the name uncultured bacterium. RNAcentral's name for it is "partial 16S ribosomal RNA". It matches the Rfam family "Bacterial small subunit ribosomal RNA", at positions 506 to 807 of the family's 1533-position model. The record is from RNAcentral.